RNAcentral lists this ribosomal RNA (1528 nucleotides) under Klebsiella pneumoniae. RNAcentral describes it as "bacterial SSU rRNA". It matches the Rfam family "Bacterial small subunit ribosomal RNA". The record is from RNAcentral. Lineage: Bacteria; Pseudomonadati; Pseudomonadota; Gammaproteobacteria; Enterobacterales; Enterobacteriaceae.
AGAGUUUGAUCAUGGCUCAGAUUGAACGCUGGCGGCAGGCCUAACACAUGCAAGUCGAGCGGUAGCACAGAGAGCUUGCUCUCGGGUGACGAGCGGCGGACGGGUGAGUAAUGUCUGGGAAACUGCCUGAUGGAGGGGGAUAACUACUGGAAACGGUAGCUAAUACCGCAUAACGUCGCAAGACCAAAGUGGGGGACCUUCGGGCCUCAUGCCAUCAGAUGUGCCCAGAUGGGAUUAGCUAGUAGGUGGGGUAACGGCUCACCUAGGCGACGAUCCCUAGCUGGUCUGAGAGGAUGACCAGCCACACUGGAACUGAGACACGGUCCAGACUCCUACGGGAGGCAGCAGUGGGGAAUAUUGCACAAUGGGCGCAAGCCUGAUGCAGCCAUGCCGCGUGUGUGAAGAAGGCCUUCGGGUUGUAAAGCACUUUCAGCGGGGAGGAAGGCGAUAAGGUUAAUAACCUCAUCGAUUGACGUUACCCGCAGAAGAAGCACCGGCUAACUCCGUGCCAGCAGCCGCGGUAAUACGGAGGGUGCAAGCGUUAAUCGGAAUUACUGGGCGUAAAGCGCACGCAGGCGGUCUGUCAAGUCGGAUGUGAAAUCCCCGGGCUUAACCUGGGAACUGCAUUCGAAACUGGCAGGCUAGAGUCUUGUAGAGGGGGGUAGAAUUCCAGGUGUAGCGGUGAAAUGCGUAGAGAUCUGGAGGAAUACCGGUGGCGAAGGCGGCCCCCUGGACAAAGACUGACGCUCAGGUGCGAAAGCGUGGGGAGCAAACAGGAUUAGAUACCCUGGUAGUCCACGCCGUAAACGAUGUCGAUUUGGAGGUUGUGCCCUUGAGGCGUGGCUUCCGGAGCUAACGCGUUAAAUCGACCGCCUGGGGAGUACGGCCGCAAGGUUAAAACUCAAAUGAAUUGACGGGGGCCCGCACAAGCGGUGGAGCAUGUGGUUUAAUUCGAUGCAACGCGAAGAACCUUACCUGGUCUUGACAUCCACAGAACUUUCCAGAGAUGGAUUGGUGCCUUCGGGAACUGUGAGACAGGUGCUGCAUGGCUGUCGUCAGCUCGUGUUGUGAAAUGUUGGGUUAAGUCCCGCAACGAGCGCAACCCUUAUCCUUUGUUGCCAGCGGUCCGGCCGGGAACUCAAAGGAGACUGCCAGUGAUAAACUGGAGGAAGGUGGGGAUGACGUCAAGUCAUCAUGGCCCUUACGACCAGGGCUACACACGUGCUACAAUGGCAUAUACAAAGAGAAGCGACCUCGCGAGAGCAAGCGGACCUCAUAAAGUAUGUCGUAGUCCGGAUUGGAGUCUGCAACUCGACUCCAUGAAGUCGGAAUCGCUAGUAAUCGUAGAUCAGAAUGCUACGGUGAAUACGUUCCCGGGCCUUGUACACACCGCCCGUCACACCAUGGGAGUGAGUUGCAAAAGAAGUAGGUAGCUUAACCUUCGGGAGGGCGCUUACCACUUUGUGAUUCAUGACUGGGGUGAAGUCGUAACAAGGUAACCGUAGGGGAACCUGCGGUUGGAUCACCU